GGCCAGACUCCUACGGGAGGCAGCAGUGGGGGAUAUUGCACAAUGGGGGAAACCCUGAUGCAGCGACGCCGCGUGAGUGAAGAAGUAUUUCGGUAUGUAAAGCUCUAUCAGCAGGGAAGAAAAAAGACGGUACCUGACUAAGAAGCCCCGGCUAACUACGUGCCAGCAGCCGCGGUAAUACGUAGGGGGCAAGCGUUAUCCGGAUUUACUGGGUGUAAAGGGAGCGUAGACGGCAAUACAAGUCGGAAGUGAAAUACCCGGGCUCAACCUGGGAACUGCUUUGGAAACUGUAUGGCUAGAGUGCUGGAGAGGUAAGCGGAAUUCCUAGUGUAGCGGUGAAAUGCGUAGAUAUUAGGAGGAACACCAGUGGCGAAGGCGGCUUACUGGACAGUAACUGACGCUCAUGUACGAAGGCGUGGGUAUCGAACAGGAUUAGAUACCCGUGUA
Molecule: ribosomal RNA, 447 nt
Filed under: uncultured bacterium
Lineage: Bacteria
Description: bacterial SSU rRNA
Rfam family: Bacterial small subunit ribosomal RNA
Source: RNAcentral